This 344-nucleotide ribosomal RNA is filed under the name uncultured bacterium. Its description in RNAcentral is "bacterial SSU rRNA". It matches the Rfam family "Bacterial small subunit ribosomal RNA", at positions 8 to 334 of the family's 1533-position model. The record is from RNAcentral.
AGGGUUUGAUUCUGGCUCAGGAUGAACGCUGGCGGCGUGCUUAACACAUGCAAGUCGAACGAAGCACUUUGGACAGAUUCUUCGGAUGAAGUCCUUAGUGACUGAGUGGCGGACGGGUGAGUAACGCGUGGGUAACCUGCCUCAUACAGGGGGAUAACAGUUAGAAAUGGCUGCUAAUACCGCAUAAGCGCACGGUACUGCAUGGUACAGUGUGAAAAACUCCGGUGGUAUGAGAUGGACCCGCGUUGGAUUAGCUAGUUGGCAGGGUAACGGCCUACCAAGGCGACGAUCCAUAGCCGGCCUGAGAGGGUGGACGGCCACAUUGGGACUGAGACACGGCCCAG